Molecule: ribosomal RNA, 532 nt
Filed under: uncultured bacterium
Lineage: Bacteria
Description: partial 16S ribosomal RNA
Rfam family: Bacterial small subunit ribosomal RNA
Source: RNAcentral
UGGGGAAUUUUGGACAAUGGGCGAAAGCCUGAUCCAGCAAUGCCGCGUGUGUGAAGAAGGCCUUCGGGUUGUAAAGCACUUUUGUCCGGAAAGAAAUCCUCUGGGUUAAUACCUCGGGGGGAUGACGGUACCGGAAGAAUAAGCACCGGCUAACUACGUGCCAGCAGCCGCGGUAAUACGUAGGGUGCAAGCGUUAAUCGGAAUUACUGGGCGUAAAGCGUGCGCAGGCGGUUUUGUAAGACGGAUGUGAAAUCCCCGGGCUUAACCUGGGAACUGCAUUCGUGACUGCAAGGCUAGAGUAUGGCAGAGGGGGGUAGAAUUCCACGUGUAGCAGUGAAAUGCGUAGAGAUGUGGAGGAAUACCGAUGGCGAAGGCAGCCCCCUGGGCCAAUACUGACGCUCAUGCACGAAAGCGUGGGGAGCAAAGCAGGAUUCAGAUACCCUGGUAGUCCACGCCCUAAACGAUGUCAACUAGUUGUUGGGGAUUCAUUUCCUUAGUAACGUAGCUAACGCGUGAAGUUGACCGCCUGGGG